AUGACAGCGGCUCGGGACAGGCUCCUUUUCCGCGCCCCUCCCGCCGGAGGUGAGGGGAAGAUGUCCAUGUCAGGGUUCAAGGCCAGACUGAAGUUGCUGGCCUCUAUCUUCCAGGAGAACCAGGAGCCACAGCCGCGGCUCACGCCCCACCGCAACAUUAAGAUUACAAGUGGACACCUGAGUCAGCAGGACCUGGAAUCCCAGAUGAGAGAGCUUAUCUACACGACUCAGAUCUUGUUGUCACCCCCAUUAUUGACAAUCCAAAGGUGCAGAAAGCACUCUGACAAAUAA
Molecule: long non-coding RNA, 291 nt
Filed under: Pan troglodytes (chimpanzee)
Lineage: Eukaryota; Metazoa; Chordata; Mammalia; Primates; Hominidae
Description: lncRNA (ENSPTRG00000054616.1)
Source: RNAcentral